Molecule: ribosomal RNA, 111 nt
Filed under: uncultured bacterium
Lineage: Bacteria
Description: partial 16S ribosomal RNA
Rfam family: Bacterial small subunit ribosomal RNA
Source: RNAcentral
CUCCUACGGGAGGCAGCAGUGGGGAAUUUUGGACAAUGGGCGCAACCCUGAUCCAGCAAUGCCGCGUGAGUGAUGAAGGCCUUAGGGUUGUUAAGGUCUUUUACCCGGCUG